Molecule: ribosomal RNA, 253 nt
Filed under: uncultured bacterium
Lineage: Bacteria
Description: partial 16S ribosomal RNA
Rfam family: Bacterial small subunit ribosomal RNA
Source: RNAcentral
UACGUAGGGUCCGAGCGUUGUCCGGAAUUACUGGGCGUAAAGAGCUCGUAGGUGGUUUGUCGCGUUGUUCGUGAAAACUCACAGCUUAACUGUGGGCGUGCGGGCGAUACGGGCAGACUAGAGUGAUGUAGGGGAGACUGGAAUUCCUGGUGUAGCGGUGAAAUGCGCAGAUAUCAGGAGGAACACCGGUGGCGAAGGCGGGUCUCUGGGCCGAUACUGACGCUGAGGAGCGAAAGCGUGGGGAGCGAACAGG